Molecule: non-coding RNA, 45 nt
Organism: Schistosoma rodhaini
Lineage: Eukaryota; Metazoa; Platyhelminthes; Trematoda; Strigeidida; Schistosomatidae
Source: Rfam
CUUCAAUCGAAGAGUCUCAAAUAGCACGAAACACGCGUCUUGAAU